GGGGUAUUAGUUUAAUGGUAAAACAAAGUGCUACGGACACUUAGAUUAUAGUUCAAAUCUAUCAUACCUUA
This 71-nucleotide transfer RNA is filed under the name Hapsidospora chrysogena. RNAcentral's name for it is "Acremonium chrysogenum tRNA-Arg". It matches the Rfam family "tRNA". Rfam says of the family: Transfer RNA (tRNA) molecules are approximately 80 nucleotides in length. Their secondary structure includes four short double-helical elements and three loops (D, anti-codon, and T loops). RNAcentral also lists the same sequence under 1 other name. Lineage: Eukaryota; Fungi; Ascomycota; Sordariomycetes; Hypocreales; Bionectriaceae. The record is from RNAcentral.